UGUUCUUGGAGCAUCUUUACACACGCAGACAGUGAAUCGAUAGUUAAACGGACCAUCCAUGGUGACGUUGCUUCUGAGAUAAGCUUUACACUGAUGAGGAAAAGGUGGGAGAAGGGCAAGGACAGGCGUCAGUCUGGGGACUGUGAAGGGAAGGGAAAGGGAAGAGAGGAAGAAGAUGGAGGGCACAGAACGGGGGCAGGGGUGGUUGGGGGCCUGGAGGUGUCUGUUUCUGUAGUAUCAUUUCAGCAGCUAAGUCUGGGUCACACCCUCAAGCUCCCGCAUAAGCAGUGUGGGUGUAAGGCCCAGGGGGGAAAGGGAGAUGCAAGGGAAUCCACAGGGCAAGAGGGCUUGUCCCGCGGUGGCUAUCCAUCUGGGAAGCAGGCUGGCCUUAGCCACCAGCCAGAGCUUUCGGCAUUGACCUGCAUUAGCUUUUACUCUGUGAGCUGGUGAGACGGCAGCCUGGCCACUUGGGGGUAGGAGCAAAGGCCAGGCUUUGUCAGAACUGUGACCAAGCCCCAGCCAUGCUCCUCCCUAGCUUUGUGACCUUUUCUGAUUAAAGUUACACCUCUCACUCCCACUGUCCUCAGUUGUGAGGUGGAAACAAUGAUCUGCAAAGCCUGGCUGUUAGCUGCAGGCAGAGAACCAGGAGCAGGCCAGUGCUGGCCCUGAACAGGAGCUGGAGAGAGCGCAUGCUGGAGGAAACAGAAGGUGACCUGUCCCAGAGAAGUGGCGUCCCAGGUGCCCAGCACACUUCUUAUAGGCAGAUCCAGGAAGUGCGAGAGCUGCCAGGAGAGGCAUAUUUAAUAUUCCACACUGAUGAUGUCCCUGCCAUGAGGUCCCUGUUCCGGGCACCAUCUGGUCUGCGGCAGGCACAGGACAAUAGAGGAGGCAGUUAAUGUGUAACAGAGGCCAGUGCCUUGAAGCAGGUGGCCUGGUCUCUCAUCUCUCCUCGUCAUGUACAGAACAAGAACAAUGAGGAAGAAAGUUAAGCUAUAAUAUGAGAAGCAGAACUGCAAACAUGCUAGUGACUCAGACUGCAGUCACAUCUCUCUCAAGACUGACUUUAGUAAAGUUAACCCCCGGCCAGCAGACAAAUUAGACUGGCCGACCGAGGUGCUCAAAGCCAAAUAGAAGGAGACAGCGUGGCUGGGUGAGGGAGCGGUCCCGUACUCUGUGUUCUCGGAAAGAUGUCGUGAGAGUGUCCCAGGACCUUCCUGUCUACAAUCAAGCCGAACCAGAUCCUGUUUUUGGUGGGGUGACAGAGUGUCGCUGGGAAUUCCCCUCCUGACCACCAGCCGGCCAUCUGGAACUAGCCAACUAAGACAGGCUGGUGACUUGGGGCUCAGAAGUCAAGACCCUGCUCCUCAGUCCCCUGGCUCUGCCCCCGCCCUGCAGUUUUCACCUUUAUUAUCUCUAAGUGCGUUUUUGGUUCACACUGGAGGCUGGGA
Non-coding RNA from Microcebus murinus (gray mouse lemur), 1448 nucleotides. The record is from RefSeq and is a predicted model, not a curated record. NCBI's taxonomy places the organism in Eukaryota, Metazoa, Chordata, Mammalia, Primates, Cheirogaleidae.